UCACGAUCGAUGGACAAACUUGCGUCAC
This 28-nucleotide small RNA is filed under the name Bombyx mori (domestic silkworm). RNAcentral's name for it is "ovarian small RNA-25264". The record is from RNAcentral. Lineage: Eukaryota; Metazoa; Arthropoda; Insecta; Lepidoptera; Bombycidae.